GCCAAAUUAUGGCAAGAGCCUAAAUGUCCAUCAACUGAUGAAUGGAUAAAGAUGUGGUUCAUACAUACAAUGGAAUACUACUUGGCAAUGAGGAAGAAUGAAAUCAUGCCCUUUGCAGCAACAUGGAUGGAACUCGAAGGUGUGAAGUGUAAAGACCUCAAUGGUGGCAGAUGUGAGUGCUUCAAUUAACAACAGUAUAUCAAGUGGAACUGGGUACAAACAAGCAGUCACACGUGCUGCCCAGACACAUGGACUGACACGUGUUCUUGACUGGGUCAGCCAGCAGCAGCUCAUGUGAUGGCACGUACUCAUCCUUGGUUGGAGACGGCAGAGCUGCCUUUUGGGAACAGCCAAAUCUUGUUUUGAGAUAAGGGAACAAGGAUUCCACAGUGAGGGAAGAUUAAAAACAUGAAGAAGCCAAUUUCUAGAGGCUCCCACUUCCAAAGAUAAGAUAAUUUUUGAGAGAGAGACAGAGCAUGAAUGGGGGAGGAGCGGAGAGAGACGGAGACACAGAAUCUGAAGCAGGCUCCAGACUCUGAGCUGUCAGCACAAAACCUGACAUGGGGCUCGAACCCAUGAACCGUAAUUUCAUGACCUGAGCUGAAGUUGGACGCUUAGCCGACGCACUAGAGCAGAGGAAAUAAUCCUGACAAUUAGAUCACGUGAAGAAAUAAAGAAUCUAAAUAAUUGCCAUACCGCUGACUUCCCCGCAGGAGACCCUGAGCCACCUCUUAACCACUUUGCAGCCCCCUCAACCAGCUUCUGUGACUCUUCUGGUCCUAUUACUUAGCCAAGCAUCGUCCCCUGGAGGCACUAUUGUCAGCCUAACUUUUAAAGGACACUUAAAGUCUCUUCAUAUGGCUUACUGAGUCUGCAGUG
Long non-coding RNA from Neofelis nebulosa (Clouded leopard), 879 nucleotides. RefSeq lists it as uncharacterized. The record is from RefSeq and is a predicted model, not a curated record. NCBI's taxonomy places the organism in Eukaryota, Metazoa, Chordata, Mammalia, Carnivora, Felidae. The transcript has 5 exons.